This 296-nucleotide unclassified non-coding RNA is filed under the name fungal sp. RNAcentral's name for it is "partial internal transcribed spacer region". The stretch from base 1 to 46 matches the Rfam family "Eukaryotic small subunit ribosomal RNA", at positions 1786 to 1831 of the family's 1831-position model. Lineage: Eukaryota; Fungi. The record is from RNAcentral. RNAcentral also lists the same sequence under 1 other name.
AAGUCGUAACAAGGUUUCCGUAGGUGAACCUGCGGAAGGAUCAUUACCAAAUCCAAAUUACUUAACCCCAUGUGAACUAUUGUUUUAGUCUGUCUUUGGGAGAAACUUCUUUUUUUUUUAAGUGUUUCGUUGACACGCGAUUAAAAUAGUUUCUCCCAAUAGAGUCCGGCAUAACUGUAUGGUUGUGUCCAGAUUCGAAAAACACCCACUAUUAAACCACUUGAUUUAUCUGUUGGAAUUUUUUUUAUUAAAUUAUCAAUAAAAGACAACUUUUAACGGCGGAUCUCUUGGCUCGU